RNAcentral lists this small nucleolar RNA (204 nucleotides) under Merops nubicus (carmine bee-eater). Its description in RNAcentral is "Small nucleolar RNA SNORA74". It matches the Rfam family "Small nucleolar RNA SNORA74". Rfam says of the family: U19 belongs to the H/ACA class of snoRNAs. snoRNAs bind a number of proteins (including dyskerin, Gar1p and Nop10p in the case of the H/ACA class) to form snoRNP complexes. The record is from Rfam by way of RNAcentral. Lineage: Eukaryota; Metazoa; Chordata; Aves; Coraciiformes; Meropidae.
UCCAGCGGUAGUCAGCUACCCAUUGCUGCUUAGUGCCUGUGAUAGUGUUAUGCUGCUGGGAGAGAAACACGCUGCUGAGUCGCUCCUGGCACCUCUGGUGCUGUUCUAGUGCUAGAUGGUGCCAGGUUUUGGCAACAUGCUGCAUGCUUGAGAGUGGAGUAACUCCUGUUCUGUGGAGUGAAUCCUAGACUGGAUGCAGACAAC